GCAGGUGUCGCCUAUCGGUAUGGCGUCAGCUUCCCAAGCUGAUUUUGGCGGGUCCGACUCCCGUCACCUGCUCCA
This 75-nucleotide transfer RNA is filed under the name Clostridia bacterium. RNAcentral's name for it is "tRNA-Gly". It matches the Rfam family "tRNA". From Rfam's summary of the family: Transfer RNA (tRNA) molecules are approximately 80 nucleotides in length. Their secondary structure includes four short double-helical elements and three loops (D, anti-codon, and T loops). Further hydrogen bonds mediate the characteristic L-shaped molecular structure. tRNAs have two regions of fundamental functional importance: the anti-codon, which is responsible for specific mRNA codon recognition, and the 3' end, to which the tRNAs corresponding amino acid is attached (by aminoacyl-tRNA synthetases). tRNAs cope with the degeneracy of the genetic code in two manners: having more than one tRNA (with a specific anti-codon) for a particular amino acid; and 'wobble' base-pairing, i.e. permitting non-standard base-pairing at the 3rd anti-codon position. The record is from RNAcentral. Lineage: Bacteria; Bacillati; Bacillota; Clostridia.